CCACCCCCAAGAACCCCACAAUGCACCAACAACCAAGAGAAUGAACUGAAGAGAUAAAAGAGAAAGACAGAAAACAGAAAACAACAAUGCAAAUAAAUAAAUAAUAGUAAUCCAUUUAAAACAAAGGACAUCAAGGACAACUGAAAUCAUAACAACAAUGGCAACUGUAAAUGUUUAUGUGCAUGUCUGGCAAUAUUACAUGUAUGUGUGUAUUCUUGUAUGCGUUCAUUUGAAUGAGAGUGUGUGUAUAUGCAUGUGUACAAACACCUGCACGGCAUCAGCCUCAGGCAAACCGGCAUUAGUUGUAAAAACACUGUCCCUUAGUGUCAUUCAAAUGUACUUUUAUUAUGUUUUAUUUUGACUUUUAUCUUUGACCAUCAUUCUAUCACCCCCACCGCAACUCCACUCCCACUUGUCUCCAAUCCAACAUCCUAACCCUCAGCUUCCCUCAGCCCAUCCCAUCAUUCUAUCACCCCCACCGCAACUCCACUCCCACUUGUCUCCAAUCCAACAUCCUAACCCUCAGCUUCCCUCAGCCCAUCCCAUCAUUCUAACUCCACUCCCACUUGUCUCCAAUCCCACAUCCUAACCCUCAGCCCAUCCCAUCAUUCUAUCUCCCCCACAGCAACUCCACUCCCAGUUGUCUCCAAUCCCACAUCCUAACCCUCAGCUUCCCUCAGCCCAUCCCAUCAUUCUAUCUCCCACACAUCAACUCCACUCCCACUUGUCUCCAAUCCCACAUCCUAACCCUCAGCCCAUCCCAUCAUUCUAUCUCCCACACAUCAACUCCACUCCCACUUGUCUCCAAUCCCACAUCCUAACCCUCAGCCCAUCCCAUCAUUCUAUCUCCCACACAUCAACUCCACUCCCACUUGUCUCCAAUCCCACAUCCUAACCCUCAGCUUCCCUCAGCCCAUCCCAUCAUUCUAUCUCCCACACAUCAACUCCACUCCCACUUGUCUCCAAUCCCACAUCCUAACCCUCAGCCCAUCCCAUCAUUCUAUCUCCCACACAUCAACUCCACUCCCACAUCCUAACCCUCAGCCCAUCCCAUCAUUCUAUCUCCCACACAUCAACUCCACUCCCACUUGUCUCCAAUCCCACAUCCUAACCCUCAGCUUCCCUCAGCCCAUCCCAUCAUUCUAUCUCCCACACAUCAACUCCACUCCCAGUUGUCUCCAAUCCCACAUCCUAACCCUCAGCUUCCCUCAGCCCAUCCCAUCAUUCUAUCUCCCACACAUCAACUCCACUCCCAGUUGUCUCCAAUCCCACAUCCUAACCCUCAGCUUCCCUCAGCCCAUCCCAUCAUUCUAUCACCCCCACCGCAACUCCACUCCCACUUGUCUCCAAUCCCACAUCCUAACCCUCAGCUUCCCUCAGCCCAUCCCAUCAUUCUAUCACCCCCACCGCAACUCCACUCCCACUUGUCUCCAAUCCCACAUCCUAACCCUCAGCUUCCCUCAGCCCAUCCCAUCAUUCUAUCUCCCACACAUCAACUCCACUCCCAGUUGUCUCCAAUCCCACAUCCUAACCCUCAGCUUCCCUCAGCCCAUCCCAUCAUUCUAUCUCCCACACAUCAACUCCACUCCCAGUUGUCUCCAAUCCCACAUCCUAACCCUCAGCUUCCCUCAGCCCAUCCCAUCAUUCUAUCACCCCCACCGCAACUCCACUCCCACUUGUCUCCAAUCCCACAUCCUAACCCUCAGCUUCCCUCAGCUCAUCCCAUCAUUCUAUCACCCCCACCGCAACUCCACUCCCACUUGUCUCCAAUCCCACAUCCUAACCCUCAGCUUCCCUCAGCCCAUCCCAUCAUUCUAUCACCCCCACCGCAACUCCACUCCCACUUGUCUCCAAUCCCACAUCCUAACCCUCAGCUUCCCUCAGCCCAUCCCAUCAUUCUAUCACCCCCACCGCAACUCCACUCCCACUUGUCUCCAAUCCCACAUCCUAACCCUCAGCUUCCCUCAGCCCAUCCCAUCAUUCUAUCACCCCCACCGCAACUCCACUCCCACUUGUCUCCAAUCCCACAUCCUAACCCUCAGCUUCCCUCAGCCCAUCCCAUCAUUCUAUCACCCCCACCGCAACUCCACUCCCACUUGUCUCCAAUCCCACAUCCUAACCCUCAGCUUCCCUCAGCCCAUCCCAUCAUUCUAUCUCCCACACAUCAACUCCACUCCCAGUUGUCUCCAAUCCCACAUCCUAACCCUCAGCUUCCCUCAGCCCAUCCCAUCAUUCUAUCUCCCACACAUCAACUCCACUCCCAGUUGUCUCCAAUCCCACAUCCUAACCCUCAGCUUCCCUCAGCCCAUCCCAUCAUUCUAUCACCCCCACCGCAACUCCACUCCCACUUGUCUCCAAUCCCACAUCCUAACCCUCAGCUUCCCUCAGCUCAUCCCAUCAUUCUAUCACCCCCACCGCAACUCCACUCCCACUUGUCUCCAAUCCCACAUCCUAACCCUCAGCUUCCCUCAGCCCAUCCCAUCAUUCUAUCACCCCCACCGCAACUCCACUCCCACUUGUCUCCAAUCCCACAUCCUAACCCUCAGCUUCCCUCAGCCCAUCCCAUCAUUCUAUCACCCCCCACCGCAACUCCACUCCCACUUGUCUCCAAUCCCACAUCCUAACCCUCAGCUUCCCUCAGCCCAUCCCAUCAUUCUAUCACCCCCACCGCAACUCCACUCCCACUUGUCUCCAAUCCCACAUCCUAACCCUCAGCUUCCCUCAGCCCAUCCCAUCAUUCUAUCUCCCACACAUCAACUCCACUCCCACUUGUCUCCAAUCCAACAUCCUAACCCUCAGCUUCCCUCAGCCCAUCCCAUCAUUCUAUCUCCCACACAUCAACUCCACUCCCACUUGUCUCCAAUCCCACAUCCUAACCCUCAGCUUCCCUCAGCCCAUCCCAUCAUUCUAUCUCCCACACAUCAACUCCACUCCCACUUGUCUCCAAUCCCACAUCCUAACCCUCAGCUUCCCUCAGCCCAUCCCAUCAUUCUAUCUCCCACACAUCAACUCCACUCCCAGUUGUCUCCAAUCCCACAUCCUAACCCUCAGCUUCCCUCAGCCCAUCCCAUCAUUCUAUCACCCCCACCGCAACUCCACUCCCACUUGUCUCCAAUCCCACAUCCUAACCCUCAGCUUCCCUCAGCCCAUCCCAUCAUUCUAUCACCCCCACCGCAACUCCACUCCCACUUGUCUCCAAUCCCACAUCCUAACCCUCAGCUUCCCUCAGCCCAUCCCAUCAUUCUAUCACCCCCACCGCAACUCCACUCCCACUUGUCUCCAAUCCCACAUCCUAACCCUCAGCUUCCCUCAGCCCAUCCCAUCAUUCUAUCACCCCCACCGCAACUCCACUCCCACUUGUCUCCAAUCCCACAUCCUAACCCUCAGCUUCCCUCAGCCCAUCCCAUCAUUCUAUCUCCCACACAUCAACUCCACUCCCACUUGUCUCCAAUCCAACAUCCUAACCCUCAGCUUCCCUCAGCCCAUCCCAUCAUUCUAUCUCCCACACAUCAACUCCACUCCCACUUGUCUCCAAUCCCACAUCCUAACCCUCAGCUUCCCUCAGCCCAUCCCAUCAUUCUAUCUCCCACACAUCAACUCCACUCCCACUUGUCUCCAAUCCCACAUCCUAACCCUCAGCUUCCCUCAGCCCAUCCCAUCAUUCUAUCUCCCACACAUCAACUCCACUCCCAGUUGUCUCCAAUCCCACAUCCUAACCCUCAGCUUCCCUCAGCCCAUCCCAUCAUUCUAUCACCCCCACCGCAACUCCACUCCCACUUGUCUCCAAUCCCACAUCCUAACCCUCAGCUUCCCUCAGCUCAUCCCAUCAUUCUAUCACCCCCACCGCAACUCCACUCCCACUUGUCUCCAAUCCCACAUCCUAACCCUCAGCUUCCCUCAGCCCAUCCCAUCAUUCUAUCACCCCCACCGCAACUCCACUCCCACUUGUCUCCAAUCCCACAUCCUAACCCUCAGCUUCCCUCAGCCCAUCCCAUCAUUCUAUCACCCCCACCGCAACUCCACUCCCACUUGUCUCCAAUCCCACAUCCUAACCCUCAGCUUCCCUCAGCCCAUCCCAUCAUUCUAUCACCCCCACCGCAACUCCACUCCCACUUGUCUCCAAUCCCACAUCCUAACCCUCAGCUUCCCUCAGCCCAUCCCAUCAUUCUAUCUCCCACACAUCAACUCCACUCCCACUUGUCUCCAAUCCAACAUCCUAACCCUCAGCUUCCCUCAGCCCAUCCCAUCAUUCUAUCUCCCACACAUCAACUCCACUCCCACUUGUCUCCAAUCCCACAUCCUAACCCUCAGCUUCCCUCAGCCCAUCCCAUCAUUCUAUCUCCCACACAUCAACUCCACUCCCACUUGUCUCCAAUCCCACAUCCUAACCCUCAGCUUCCCUCAGCCCAUCCCAUCAUUCUAUCUCCCACACAUCAACUCCACUCCCACUUGUCUCCAAUCCCACAUCCUAACCCUCAGCUUCCCUCAGCCCAUCCCAUCAUUCUAUCUCCCACACAUCAACUCCACUCCCACUUGUCUCCAAUCCCACAUCCUAACCCUCAGCUUCCCUCAGCCCAUCCCAUCAUUCUAUCUCCCACACAUCAACUCCACUCCCACUUGUCUCCAAUCCCACAUCCUAACCCUCAGCUUCCCUCAGCCCAUCCCAUCAUUCUAUCUCCCACACAUCAACUCCACUCCCACUUGUCUCCAAUCCCACAUCCUAACCCUCAGCCCAUCCCAUCAUUCUAUCUCCCACACAUCAACUCCACUCCCACUUGUCUCCAAUCCCACAUCCUAACCCUCAGCUUCCCUCAGCCCAUCCCAUCAUUCUAUCUCCCACACAUCAACUCCACUCCCACUUGUCUCCAAUCCCACAUCCUAACCCUCAGCCCAUCCCAUCAUUCUAUCUCCCACACAUCAACUCCACUCCCACAUCCUAACCCUCAGCCCAUCCCAUCAUUCUAUCUCCCACACAUCAACUCCACUCCCACUUGUCUCCAAUCCCACAUCCUAACCCUCAGCUUCCCUCAGCCCAUCCCAUCAUUCUAUCUCCCGCACAGCAACUCCACUCCCACUUGUCUCCAAUCCCACAUCCUAACCCUCAGCUUCCCUCAGCCCAUCCCAUCUAUCUCUGCUGGCCACCCACUUCGGGUUUCUAUGCAACACAUAUCUUUCAACUAUGCUGUGAUGUUUAACGUACAAUUUCAAUCUAUCUAAUCGAAUAGAAUCCACAGAAUGCGAUCUCAUAACAGUACUAUUUCUAGGGUCAAUUUUAGAUCAAUGCUAUGCAUUUUCAGCCAUUCCUGAACCUGAGACCAGAAACAGGCUACCUGAGGGCAAUACCAAAAUAAAUGGUCUAUUGAUUCUGUAUCCUCACAAAAAAAUCUACAGAGCUUCCAUGAUUAUAUGCCCCAAAUAUUCAACAUUUUGUUCGUGGCAAGAACUCUAUAUAAUAAUUUUAGUUGAAAAGCACGAAGUCUUGAAUCUUGCAUUGUUUUAUAUAUCAUCAACUCAUACACCCUGU
Oncorhynchus kisutch (coho salmon) is the source of this 5524-nucleotide long non-coding RNA. Lineage: Eukaryota; Metazoa; Chordata; Actinopteri; Salmoniformes; Salmonidae. The record is from Ensembl.